This 69-nucleotide transfer RNA is filed under the name Bothus myriaster (Indo-Pacific oval flounder). RNAcentral's name for it is "tRNA-Asp". The record is from RNAcentral. Lineage: Eukaryota; Metazoa; Chordata; Actinopteri; Pleuronectiformes; Bothidae.
AAGAUACUAGUAAAAAAAUUACACGGCGAUGUCGAUGCCGGAUUUCGAGUUAAAACCUCGAGUUUCUUA